AAAAAUUUAAAAAUUCAAACAGAAAUCAUGUUCGGUAAAAAAUUUUACUUUUUGUUUUUAAAAUUUAAAAUUAAAAAGGAGUAAAUUUUAAAAAUAGAUUUUUGAUGAAUUUAAAAAAUUUUAAAAACACUUUUUCAGUUUUCAAUUUUGCUUCUCUCUCUCUCUCUCUCCUCUCUCUUUCUCGUUAGUCUUCCAUCUGAGCCUCGAUGAGUCUUCCAUGGCUUCACCUAUUCCAGAUUUGAAAAUGAAAAAAAUGAGAAAAGCAUGACAAUGAGAGUGGUUUUUAAAGAGAAAGAUCUUUUGCUAUUACAGGUAUGAUUUCUCUUGUAUUUUAUUUUAUUUUUUUGAUUUUAGGGUUUUUAUUUGAAAAAAAUUGUUCUUAGCUUUUAUUAGGUUUUUAGAUUUAAUCUUUCAAAUUGGUUUUGGGUUUAAUAUUUGAGAUUUUGUAGCUUAAUUUUAGAAAAAAAUUAGUGGGUUUUGAGUAUGUGAGUGAUUUUUGUCAUUGUUUAAUUAAAUUUAGUUUUGUGUAGUAUUUUAUUGCUACUGUCAUUUUUGGUUCUGGAUAUAAGAAAAUUCUUGCAUUAUUAUGCUUGCUGAACAUGAAUUCAAAAGACAUUUGAGUAGUAGGAAGGAAAAGUUUGAAAAAAAGGGUCUCUAUAAAUGAGUUCUUAAGUCAACACAAUUAAUUUGAAUUAUAAUUGGUUUAUUAACUAUUAAUUAAGAGAAGCUGAUGUUGGUUAUUGUUUCUUCUGGUUUACUCUCACCCUUGUCUCUUUUUCCAUAAAAAUUCUUGCCAAGGAUUUGAUGAGUUUGAGUGCAAUAAUUGUUUGAGAAGUAUUAUUAUCAAUGAGGUGUGUUAAGAUGUUUAGAAGGCAUUUACUUAUUAGCCACCUUAUCUUGAGUGUGCAAUUACUUUGUAUGAAGCAGGCAUCAAUGGUGAUCAUUGGUGAGGUGUUCUCUAAUUUCUUAAAUAUUUCAAUAAGUGUCAUCACGGUACCAUAUAUAGUUUAGGAAAAAUAUAAUAAGUGUAGCUAUUUUAGUUUGGUAUUUGAUGACUUAGUAAUCAAUGGCAACCAUAUGAUGAUUCUAUAUGGAUUAACUUCAAUGUUGAACAGAACACCACUUCCUUGGCCCUCUCCUUUCUUGUUGAACAGAACACCACUUUUCCCCGCUGGAGGAUUAUUUUCUAUAAUAUGUAUAUAUAUUUCUUUCACUAGAUGUAGAAAAAGUUUAAGGACAUGCAACUCAAAUUAUAAUUCAAGGAUAAAAAAUUGUAUGUAUUAUUUCUUUUCAUUUGUUGUUUUCUUGGUUUGUUAGAAAGAAAAUUAAACCGACCCUUUGUUUUCUAGUGAAAAACAUAGGAAUUAUAAUUAUAGGAUUAAAAUAAAUUGAAAAAGUGGUGAGUGUAUGUCUAUAUGACAUUAAGUAUAAAUUGACAUAUGCUACAAAUAUUUAAUAUUUAUCUAGCUAUGAUAUUUGAGAGGAAGAAUUAUGUUCAGAUAAAUGAUAUUCUAUAGCAACAACUUUAACCCCAGAUGAGGAACUAAGGCAAUUAUGUUCUUGGUUGAUUGAAUUUGCACCUUUAUGUACUGACUUUAAUUCCCUAGUGGAAGAACUACUGAUGUUAUCAAAUUCAGAUAUCAUUAGUUCCUGGACAGACUUCUCUCUCUCAGCAAUGUAGUAGUAUCAUUUGGUAUGCUAUGAUAUUGUGAUGAUGUGCAACAAUUUUACCAACUUUUCUUGGAGAAGGCUCAUAUGGCGGUUGUUGCUCUAAAUCUUUUCCUAAUGAAUCAAGAUAAAAGAGAUCAAGACCAAGGUUUAAGCUCACCUUGCUAGCUGAUUUGUUAAAACUUACAGACUUGGAUCUGCCUCCGUUUUAUAUACACUGAAAAUUUUUCUUUUUUGCUUAUUUUGAUCUGUUCUGUACUUCUUGAAAGCCCAUAUGAGACCAACAACACCAAAUUUGAGUAUAUAUAAACUAGUUUGAAUAAAUAUUUUUGGUUUACUUGGUUAAA
This is a long non-coding RNA of Cannabis sativa, 2015 nucleotides long. RefSeq lists it as uncharacterized. The transcript has 3 exons. The record is from RefSeq and is a predicted model, not a curated record. NCBI's taxonomy places the organism in Eukaryota, Viridiplantae, Streptophyta, Magnoliopsida, Rosales, Cannabaceae.